Long non-coding RNA from Anthonomus grandis grandis, 393 nucleotides. RefSeq lists it as uncharacterized. NCBI's taxonomy places the organism in Eukaryota, Metazoa, Arthropoda, Insecta, Coleoptera, Curculionidae. The transcript has 3 exons. The record is from RefSeq and is a predicted model, not a curated record.
GGGUAGGCAGGCGUUUAUCCAAGUUAACUUUUGUCGUGUGACUGUUAUAUACUUAAAAUAAACAAAAACUAAAAACUUUAUUAGUAUCGCGACGACUUAAGUCAAUACACUUAACAUUCAAGGUCCGUCAGUCCUCUAAAGUAUUCGCCCGGUGAAAACAAUGUUAUUUAAACUAUUAAUAAACAGUUUAUUAAUAUUUUCUUCUUUUGUGGCGUCGCAGGAUUGUAUUACCUACGGAUUAACAUGUUCCCUUGAAAUUCCCUGCUGCGGUGGCUGUUGCCUCAACGGACGAUGCAAGGACACUUAUCUGGAUUGCAAACAGCCGCUGGCGGAAGACCCCUGUAGGAACCGAUUUUGCCCCCAGGGUCAGGUGUGCGCAUCCUAUCAACCCCC